GAUCCGAGCGGGCACCGGGGGGCUGGAGAGCCGCCCGCUCCUCUUGCUUCCGUCUGAGGCAGGAGCUGGAGCUAUGAACCCAUGUCUAAACCCUUUGGCAGCUGCAGAAUGACCGAAAAUUGCUAUGAAGUGGCAUUUCAUUCUACAACAUCGCUCACUGUGCAAGGAAGGCUAAAACUCCAGCUCAAAGGCUGGCCUUGGUGACCUGUCCAUCAAGACCCUUAAAAUUCGAGCCCAUCGUGCCUAGCAGCCAAACACAGAAGAUGAGAAGGCAAAAUUCAUGACCUCCACAGGGGAACAUCCGUUCAGCUGCUGCUUUCAGAUGUCAGCAAUCAGUACUGAGUCUCCAUCACUGAGGUAAGAAGUGACCUUUUCCG
RNAcentral lists this long non-coding RNA (377 nucleotides) under Salvator merianae (Argentine black and white tegu). RNAcentral's name for it is "lncRNA (ENSSMRG00000010915.1)". Lineage: Eukaryota; Metazoa; Chordata; Lepidosauria; Squamata; Teiidae. The record is from RNAcentral.